CCUACGGGGGGCAGCAGUGGGGGAUAUUGCACAAUGGAGGAAACUCUGAUGCAGCGACGCCGCGUGAGUGAAGAAGUAUUUCGGUAUGUAAAGCUCUAUCAGCAGGGAAGAUGAUGACGGUACCUGACUAAGAAGCCCCGGCUAACUACGUGCCAGCAGCCGCGGUAAUACGUAGGGGGCAAGCGUUAUCCGGAUUUACUGGGUGUAAAGGGAGCGCAGGCGGUUUGGCAAGUUGAGAGUGGAAGCAGGGGGCUCAACCCCUUGACUGCUCCCAAAACUGUUAAACUUGAGUAUGGGAGAGGCAGGCGGAAUUCCUAGUGUAGCGGUGAAAUGCUUAGAUAUUAGGAAGAACACCGGUGGCGAAGGCGGCCUGCUGGACCAAAACUGACGCUGAGGCUCGAAAGCGUGGGUAGCAAACAGGAUUAGAUACCCGGGUAGUC
RNAcentral lists this ribosomal RNA (440 nucleotides) under uncultured Catonella sp. RNAcentral's name for it is "bacterial SSU rRNA". It matches the Rfam family "Bacterial small subunit ribosomal RNA", at positions 338 to 795 of the family's 1533-position model. Lineage: Bacteria; Bacillati; Bacillota; Clostridia; Lachnospirales; Lachnospiraceae. The record is from RNAcentral.